GAAGGUGGCAAGCGUUGUUCGGAUUUACUGGGCGUACAGGGAGCGUAGGCGGUUGGAUAARCCCUCCGUGAAAUCUCCAGGCUUAACCUGGAAAGUGCAGAGGGGACUGUUCAGCUAGAGGAUGGGAGAGGAGCGCGGAAUUCCCGGUGGAGCGGUGAAAUGCGUAGAGAUCGGGAGGAAGGCCGGUGGCGAAGGCGGCGCUCUGGAACAUUUCUGACGCUGAGGCUCGAAAGCGUGGGGAGCAAACAGGAUUAGAUACCCUGGUAGUCCACGCCUUAAACGAUGGAUACUAAGUGUCGGCGGGUUACCGCCGGUGCCGCAGCUAACGCAGUAAGUAUCCCGCCUGGGAAGUACGGCCGCAAGGUUG
This 367-nucleotide ribosomal RNA is filed under the name uncultured bacterium. Its description in RNAcentral is "bacterial SSU rRNA". It matches the Rfam family "Bacterial small subunit ribosomal RNA", at positions 527 to 896 of the family's 1533-position model. The record is from RNAcentral.